Molecule: ribosomal RNA, 503 nt
Filed under: Chiasmocleis mantiqueira
Lineage: Eukaryota; Metazoa; Chordata; Amphibia; Anura; Microhylidae
Description: partial 16S ribosomal RNA
Rfam family: Bacterial large subunit ribosomal RNA
Source: RNAcentral
GUUAAACGGCCGCGGUACCCUAACCGUGCGAAGGUAGCGCAAUCACUUGUUCUUUAAAUGAGGACUAGUAUGAACGGCAUCACGAGGAUUACACUGUCUCCCUCCCCCAAUCAAUGAAACUGAUCUCCCCGUGAAGAAGCGGGGAUAAACAUAUAAGACGAGAAGACCCUAUGGAGCUUUAAACACACCACUACUUAUCUAAAUCUACUUCAUCCAAGACAGAUAAAACUACUGUGCGUUUUCAGUUGGGGUGACUGCGGAGCAUAAUAAAACCUCCACGAUGAAAAACCAAUCCAAGAACAACAGUUCAAAGAAUCAAUAAAUUGACAUCAAUUGACCCAAAUAAAAUAAUUUGAUCAACGAACCAAGUUACCCUAGGGAUAACAGCGCAAUCCAUUUCAAGAGCUCAUAUCGACAAAUGGGUUUACGACCUCGAUGUUGGAUCAGGGUAUCCCAGUGGUGCAGCCGCUACUAAAGGUUCGUUUGUUCAACGAUCAAAACCC